ACUUAGCGGCGGACGGGUGAGUAACGCGUGGGCAACCUGCCUUACACAGGGGGAUAACAAUUAGAAAUGAUUGCUAAUACCGCAUAAGACCCCAGUACCGCAUGGUACAGAGGUAAAAACUGAGGUGGUGUAAGAUGGGCCCGCGUCUGAUUAGGUAGUUGGUGGGGUAGAAGCCUACCAAGCCGACGAUCAGUAGCCGACCUGAGAGGGCGACCGGCCACAUUGGGACUGAGACACGGUCCAAACUCCUACGGAAGGCAGCAG
RNAcentral lists this ribosomal RNA (264 nucleotides) under uncultured bacterium. Its description in RNAcentral is "partial 16S ribosomal RNA". It matches the Rfam family "Bacterial small subunit ribosomal RNA", at positions 90 to 354 of the family's 1533-position model. The record is from RNAcentral.